GUGCCACGCAGCCGCGGUAAUACGGAGGGUGCGAGCGUUAAUCGGAAUUACUGGGCGUAAAGGGUGCGUAGGCGGUUGAAUCAGUCGGAGUGUGAAAGCCCCGGGCUUAACCUGGGAAUUGCAUUCGAUACUGCGUAACUAGAGUCUGGUAGAGGGAAGCGGAACUCCGCAUGUAGCGGUGAAAUGCGUAGAUAUGCGGAGGAACACCAGUGGCGAAGGCGGCUUCCUGGACCAAGACUGACGCUGAGGCGCGAAAGCGUGGGGAGCAAACAGGAUUAGAUACCCUGGUAGUCCACGCCCUAAACGAUGAGGACUAGACGUUGGGGGGAUAAAACCCCUUAGUGUCGCAGCUAACGCGUGAAGUCCUCCGCCUGGGGAGUACGGCCGCAAGGUUGAAACUUAAAUGAAUUGGCGG
Molecule: ribosomal RNA, 415 nt
Filed under: uncultured bacterium
Lineage: Bacteria
Description: bacterial SSU rRNA
Rfam family: Bacterial small subunit ribosomal RNA
Source: RNAcentral